CCUACGGGUGGCAGCAGUGAGGAAUAUUGGUCAAUGGCCGAAAGGCUGAACCAGCCAUGUCGCGUGCAGGAAGACGGCUCUAUGAGUUGUAAACUGCUUUUGUACGAGGGUAAACACAGAUACGUGUAUCUGCUUGAAAGUAUCGUACGAAUAAGGAUCGGCUAACUCCGUGCCAGCAGCCGCGGUAAUACGGAGGAUCCAAGCGUUAUCCGGAUUUAUUGGGUUUAAAGGGUGCGUCGGCGGUAUAGUAAGUCAGCGGUGAAAUUUUGGGGCUCAACACCGAACUUGCCGUGGAUACUGCAGAGCUAGAGAGUGCUUGAGGUAGGCGGAAUGUAUGGUGUAGCGGUGAAAUGCUUAGAGAUCAUACAGAACUCCGAUUGCGAAGGCAGCUUACCA
This 396-nucleotide ribosomal RNA is filed under the name uncultured bacterium. Its description in RNAcentral is "partial 16S ribosomal RNA". It matches the Rfam family "Bacterial small subunit ribosomal RNA", at positions 338 to 731 of the family's 1533-position model. The record is from RNAcentral.